Molecule: ribosomal RNA, 301 nt
Filed under: uncultured bacterium
Lineage: Bacteria
Description: partial 16S ribosomal RNA
Rfam family: Bacterial small subunit ribosomal RNA
Source: RNAcentral
CAGUAGCCGCGGGAAUACGGAGGGAGCUAGCGUUGUUCGGAAUUACUGGGCGUAAAGCGCACGUAGGCGGCUUUGUAAGUUAGAGGUGAAAGCCUGGGGCUCAACUCCAGAAUUGCCUUUAAGACUGCAUCGCUUGAACGUCGGAGAGGUGAGUGGAAUUCCGAGUGUAGAGGUGAAAUUCGUAGAUAUUCGGAAGAACACCAGUGGCGAAGGCGGCUCACUGGACGACUGUUGACGCUGAGGUACGAAAGCGUGGGGAGCAAACAGGAUUAGAUACCCCAGUAGUCCCUGUCUCUUAUAC